RNAcentral lists this ribosomal RNA (254 nucleotides) under uncultured bacterium. RNAcentral describes it as "partial 16S ribosomal RNA". It matches the Rfam family "Bacterial small subunit ribosomal RNA", at positions 524 to 776 of the family's 1533-position model. The record is from RNAcentral.
UACGGAGGGAGCGAGCGUUGUCCGAAGUUACUGGGCGUAAAGCGCGCGUAGGCGGGGAAUUAAGUGAGAAGUGAAAGGCUGGGGCUCAACCUCAUGCAGUGCUUCUCAUACUGGUUCUCUUGAGGGCGGUAGGGAGAAGUGGAAUGGCUGGUGUAGCGGUGAAAUGCGUAGAUAUCAGGAGGAACACCGGUGGCGAAGGCGGGUCUCUGGGCCGAUACUGACGCUGAGGAGCGAAAGCGUGGGGAGCGAACAGG